RNAcentral lists this ribosomal RNA (445 nucleotides) under Peptococcaceae bacterium H01D011. RNAcentral describes it as "bacterial SSU rRNA". It matches the Rfam family "Bacterial small subunit ribosomal RNA", at positions 95 to 526 of the family's 1533-position model. Lineage: Bacteria; Bacillati; Bacillota; Clostridia; Eubacteriales; Peptococcaceae. The record is from RNAcentral.
GCGGCGGACGGGUGAGCUACACGUGGGCAACCUGCCCUGUAGAUUGGGAUAACUCCGGGAAACCUGGGCUAAUACCGAAUAAUCCAUUUCCUCACAUGGGGAGAUGUUAAAAGACGGUUUCGGCUGUCACUACAGGAUGGGCCCGCGGCGCAUUAGCUAGUUGGUGAGGUAACGGCUCACCAAGGCGACGAUGCGUAGCCGACCUGAGAGGGUGAUCGGCCACACUGGGACUGAGACACGGCCCAGACUCCUACGGGAGGCAGCAGUAGGGAAUCUUCCACAAUGGACGAAAGUCUGAUGGAGCAAUGCCGCGUGAGUGAAGAAGGUUUUCGGAUCGUAAAACUCUGUUGUGAGGGAAGAACAAGUACGAGAGUAACUGCUCGUACCUUGACGGUACCUCAUUAGAAAGCCACGGCUAACUACGUGCCAGCAGCCGCGGUAAUAC